Non-coding RNA from Pelobates cultripes (western spadefoot toad), 230 nucleotides. NCBI's taxonomy places the organism in Eukaryota, Metazoa, Chordata, Amphibia, Anura, Pelobatidae. The record is from the annotation of a GenBank genome assembly.
CCACCCUCCAAAAAUAUCAGGAAUUAGCCGACAGUGGGGGGGAUGAGCGGGAGCGUUUUAUAUGGGAGGGUGACAGAUUAUACAGGUUGACCCAAGGUAGGAGGAGAGGCUGUAUCCCUUCGCAGAAGCGCCAACUAGUGGUACCCAGAAAGUACCGGUUGGAACUUCUCCGAAUUGGACAUGACAUUCCGUUGGCAGGGCACUUAGGGGGUAACCGCACCGCCUACAGG